RNAcentral lists this ribosomal RNA (443 nucleotides) under uncultured bacterium. RNAcentral describes it as "partial 16S ribosomal RNA". It matches the Rfam family "Bacterial small subunit ribosomal RNA", at positions 338 to 795 of the family's 1533-position model. The record is from RNAcentral.
CCUACGGGAGGCAGCAGUGGGGAAUAUUGGGCAAUGGGCGCAAGCCUUACCCCGCAAUACCGCGUGCUUGAAGAAGGUCUUCGGAUUGUAAAGCUCUUUGAUCAGGGACGAACAGAUGACGGUACCUGAAGAACACGCCCCGGCUAACUACUUGCCAGCAGCCGGGGUAAAACGUAGGGGGCGAGCGUUGUCCGGAAUGCCUGGUCGAAAAGGGUGCGUAGGCGGACUCAUAAGUUAGAAGUGCAAUACCCAGGGCUUAACGCGGGUGCUGCUUCGAAGACUGUUGAGCUUGAGUGCGGGAGAGGUUAAUGGAAGGCCUAGUGUAGCGGUGGAAUGCGUAGAUAUUAGGAGGAACACCAGAGGCGAAGGCGAUUAACUGGACCGUAACUGACGCUGAGGCACGAAAGUGUGGGUAGCAAACAGGAUUAGAUACCCUAGUAGUC